GAUAGACUCGAAAGUCUAUAGUUUAGUCUGCUGCUUUAGUUUUUGUUUGCUGCAAUAUUAUUCAUUUAUUAAUUGUCAUUUAAUAAGUCAAAUUAGUGCUUGAUUUUCUCAGCAAAUCAUGGCUAAUAUAUUGUAUGUAGUGCCGUUGGUGGCCUUAGAAAUAGGAUCAAGUUGUUUCAUUCUUUUUCUAUUUAAACCUUUUGUAUUUUCAGCAGAAAGGAGGAAAAAAAAUAUAUCAAUUAAGAGAAAAUCUCUUUGGUUCAUUCUCACCAUAAGUAGAAUACUAUCUUGGCUUUGACUGGGACCUAUCAGUGGUAUCAAAUGAUAGACUCGAAAGUCUAUAGUUUAGUCUGCUGCUUUAGUUUUUGUUUGCUGCAAUAUUAUUCAUUUAUUAAUUGUCAUUUAAUAAGUCAAAUUAGUGCUUGAUUUUCUCAGCAAAUCAUGGCUAAUAUAUUGUAUGUAGUGCCGUUGGUGGCCUUAGAAAUAGGAUCAAGUUGUUUCAUUCUUUUUCUAUUUAAACCUUUUGUAUUUUCAGCAGAAAGGAGGAAAAAAUAUAUAUCAAUUAAGAGAAAAUCUCUUUGGUUCAUUCUCACCAUAAGUAGAAUACUAUCUUGGCUUUGACUGGGACCUAUCAGUGGUAUCAAAGCCGCGUUAUCUAUCUUUUUUCUUUCUAUUUCUUUUCGAUCCCUAUGGCAACCAAUAAGGAACGAAUUGAAAACUUGGAAGCUGCUGUCGGGCAACUUCAAGAUUCCAUUAGCAACAUGGGUCAAGGGCUUAACGAAAAAUUGCAGCAAAUUGAAAAAGCCAUCUCGAAGUUCUCUGAGAUGACUCUUCCUACUAAAGAAGGGACCAGCAGUGUCGGUGACCAAACCAGUCAGGUUCGCGACAAAUAAGUUGGACCUAGGGAUGGAGGUAAACCAUUUUAUUCUGCGAAAUUGGCAAAAUUAGAAUUUCCUAAAUACUCUGGGGACGACCCAACCGAAUGGUUCACAAGAGUGGAUCAAUUUUUUGAGUACCAAGGAACUCCAGCUGCCGAAAAAGUUUCCUUGGCCUCUUAUCACCUUCGAGGAGAGGCGAAUGAAUGGUGGCAGUGGCUUCGCCGAACUCACACUGAAGCGGGGACAACAGUGACGUGGGACAUAUUUUCUGAGGAAUUGUGGUCUCGUUUUGGGCCCACUGAUUGUGAGGAUUUUGACGAAUCCUUAUCAAAAAUUCAGCAAACAGGACCCCUACGUGACUAUCAACGAGAAUUUGAAAGACUGGGUAAUCGGGUUAAGGGAUGGACGCAGAAGGCGUUAGUGGGAUCGUUUAUGGGAGGUUUGAAGUCUGAAAUUGCCGAAGGAAUUCGAAUGUUCAAACCGAAAACGUUAAAAGACGCCAUCAGUUUGGCUCGGAUGAAAGACGAGCAAUUACAACGACAAAAGUCAGAUUCUAAACAUGAAAGUGUGUUGUCUCCGACAAGGAACAAGCCUAGCACUCCAUUAAAGCNNNNN
This 1493-nucleotide long non-coding RNA is filed under the name Manihot esculenta (cassava). RNAcentral describes it as "long non-coding RNA (MESC_LNC003336)". Lineage: Eukaryota; Viridiplantae; Streptophyta; Magnoliopsida; Malpighiales; Euphorbiaceae. The record is from RNAcentral.